AGAGGGACCCAGGGGUCAGGGAGAGGAUGGGUGGUGGGUGGAGACAGGCUCAGUGCCCAGGUGCUGUGAAAGCCUCUAGAAAACCUGCUGGAAGGAGGCCACAACCAGUGAAGCCCAAGGUCACAGACCUGUCCUGAAGCUGCUACCUCAGGUCCUGCUGAGGGGCUCAAGGUCAGAUCUGUCCAACAGAGGGGCUGGGGAUGCUCUGCAAUGAGGGCUUUGUGGACAGUUCCUGGGUGCUGAGCCCUGUGGGAUAAUUGCCCAGAGGCCUCUCUAGGACACAGAAGAAAACCUGCCCAGGCAUGGUGGGAGCUCCAGGUAACCAGGCACAGGACAUGAGAGGGAAGGACCAGGCCGAGGAGGCCCUUUCUGCUCUGAGCUUGGAGUGGACAAGCAAGUGAUGGGCCUGAUAAUCUAUGUGAGCCUACUUCUGCUGACUCAAAAAAUCCUGAGUCUGCCAUUUAAUCCUCAAGACAAUGCCUUUCUUUCCUGAGCUCGCUCCUAUGCAGCAUUUCACAAUCAGCCUAACUGCUGGGUCUGUGGAGCACUCCCCUCUUCACCAGUGGAAGGCUUCCUGUGAUGGACAUCUCCACUUCAAGGAAAAGACUUUCUGCAAGUCUCCAAAUACCUUCCACAACAAUCAUAUGCGAUGUCGCUUCUUAAACUGAUGACAUCUAACCUUAAGAUGGACUGAUGUAACUAUGGACAUAAUGUGACUUUUCAUUUUGAUUUUAACUUGGUUUAAUGACUAUUUUGCCUUAUGUCUGUAACUGUAUAAUGGGGUUUUCUAACCAUCUAAAACUUUUAAGUUAUGCCACG
Long non-coding RNA from Bubalus bubalis (water buffalo), 819 nucleotides. RefSeq lists it as uncharacterized. The transcript is spliced from 3 exons. NCBI's taxonomy places the organism in Eukaryota, Metazoa, Chordata, Mammalia, Artiodactyla, Bovidae. The record is from RefSeq and is a predicted model, not a curated record.